Molecule: ribosomal RNA, 468 nt
Filed under: uncultured bacterium
Lineage: Bacteria
Description: partial 16S ribosomal RNA
Rfam family: Bacterial small subunit ribosomal RNA
Source: RNAcentral
GAUGAACGCUGGCGGCGUGCUUAACACAUGCAAGUCGAACGGAAAGGCCGAAGCUUGCUUCGGUACUCGAGUGGCGAACGGGUGAGUAACACGUGGGUGAUCUGCCCUGUACUUCGGGAUAAGCUUGGGAAACUGGGUCUAAUACCGGAUAUGACGAUCUCUUGGAUGGGGUUGUGGAAAGCUUUUGCGGUAUGGGAUGAGCUCGCGGCCUAUCAGCUUGUUGGUGGGGUAAUGGCCUACCAAGGCGUCGACGGGUAGCCGGCCUGAGAGGGUGUACGGCCACAUUGGGACUGAGAUACGGCCCAGACUCCUACGGGAGGCAGCAGUGGGGAAUAUUGCACAAUGGGCGCAAGCCUGAUGCAGCGACGCCGCGUGGGGGAUGACGGCCUUCGGGUUGUAAACUCCUUUCGCAAUCGACGAAGCCCUUUGGUGACGGUAGGUUGAGAAGAAGCACCGGCUAACUACGUG